This 211-nucleotide long non-coding RNA is filed under the name Elaeis guineensis (African oil palm). RNAcentral's name for it is "long non-coding RNA (EGUI_LNC029230)". Lineage: Eukaryota; Viridiplantae; Streptophyta; Magnoliopsida; Arecales; Arecaceae. The record is from RNAcentral.
CCGGCCAAAAACAUGAUGAUAUAUAUAGCUGUGACAGUGAGGAGUGGGGAUUCUUUUUGGAAGCAUGCAUGUUGCCCCAUUUUACCUUUUUUUUGUUUUUUUGAUAAGAGAGUGUUAGGGCGCGGAUGGGAGAGUAUCAAUAAUUUUAUAUUAGUUGUGAGUCAAUAAAAACUCUAAUUUAUAUGAGAUAAAAUAUUCUCUCACAAGUGAG